GAUGAACGCUGGCGGCGUGCCUAAUACAUGCAAGUCGAGCGAACAGAUGAGGAGCUUGCUCCUCUGACGUUAGCGGCGGACGGGUGAGUAACACGUGGAUAACCUACCUAUAAGACUGGGAUAACUUCGGGAAACCGGAGCUAAUACCGGAUAAUAUAUUGAACCGCAUGGUUCAAGAGUGAAAGACGGUUUUGCUGUCACUUAUAGCUGGAUCCGCGCCGCAUUAGCUAGUUGGUAAGGUAACGGCUUACCAAGGCAACGAUGCGUAGCCGACCUGAGAGGGUGAUCGGCCACACUGGAACUGAGACACGGUCCAGACUCCUACGGGAGGCAGCAGUAGGGAAUAUUCCGCAAUGGGCGAAAGCCUGACGGAGCCACGCCGCGUGAGUGAUGAAGGUCUUCGGAUCGUAAAACUCUGUUAUUAGGGAAGAACAAAUGUGUAAGUAACUAUGCACGUCUUGACGGUACCUAAUCAGAAAGCCACGGCUAACUUCGUG
RNAcentral lists this ribosomal RNA (497 nucleotides) under uncultured bacterium. Its description in RNAcentral is "partial 16S ribosomal RNA". It matches the Rfam family "Bacterial small subunit ribosomal RNA", at positions 28 to 507 of the family's 1533-position model. The record is from RNAcentral.